CGUAUGAAUUCUCAUGUGUCUGUUCAGGUGGCUCUUUUGUCCAAAUCUUCGACCACAUUCAGAACAGCCAAAUUGUUUUUGUCCUGUAUGAAUGAUCAUGUGUGUCUUCAGGUUGCUCUUUUGUCCAAAUCUUUGACCACA
Long non-coding RNA from Thalassophryne amazonica, 141 nucleotides. RefSeq lists it as uncharacterized. Lineage: Eukaryota; Metazoa; Chordata; Actinopteri; Batrachoidiformes; Batrachoididae. The transcript has 2 exons. The record is from RefSeq and is a predicted model, not a curated record.